UUUGCUAUUUGAUGACCAGUGG
This 22-nucleotide microRNA is filed under the name Branchiostoma belcheri (Belcher's lancelet). RNAcentral's name for it is "bbe-miR-4880-5p". Lineage: Eukaryota; Metazoa; Chordata; Leptocardii; Amphioxiformes; Branchiostomatidae. The record is from miRBase by way of RNAcentral.